GAUGAACGCUCGCUACAGGCUUAACACAUGCAAGUCGAGGGGAAACGACAUCGAAAGCUUGCUUUUGAUGGGCGUCGACCGGCGCACGGGUGAGUAACGCGUAUCCAACCUGCCCAUCACUUGGGAAUAACCUUGCGAAAGUAAGACUAAUACCCAAUGAUAUCCCACGAAGGCAUCGGAAUGGGAUUAAAGAUUUAUCGGUGAUGGAUGGGGAUGCGUCUGAUUAGCUUGUUGGCGGGGUAACGGCCCACCAAGGCAACGAUCAGUAGGGGUUCUGAGAGGAAGGUCCCCCACAUUGGAACUGAGACACGGUCCAAACUCCUACGGGAGGCAGCAGUGAGGAAUAUUGGUCAAUGGGCGAGAGCCUGAACCAGCCAAGUAGCGUGCAGGAAGACGGCCCUAUGGGUGGUAAACUGCUUUUAUAAGGGAAUAAAGUGGGUCACGUGUGACUUUUUGCAUGUACCUUAUGAAUAAGGACCGGCUAAUUCCGUG
RNAcentral lists this ribosomal RNA (492 nucleotides) under uncultured bacterium. RNAcentral's name for it is "partial 16S ribosomal RNA". It matches the Rfam family "Bacterial small subunit ribosomal RNA", at positions 28 to 507 of the family's 1533-position model. The record is from RNAcentral.